Pangasianodon gigas (Mekong giant catfish) is the source of this 73-nucleotide non-coding RNA. NCBI's taxonomy places the organism in Eukaryota, Metazoa, Chordata, Actinopteri, Siluriformes, Pangasiidae. The record is from the annotation of a GenBank genome assembly.
UCCUUGGUGGUCUAGUGGCUAAGGAUCCUGUGCUCUCUCUGCUGAGGUCCGGGUUUGAUUCCUGGUUAGGGAA